GUUUCGGUGUGCAGUGGUAGAGCACACGUCCACGGAUAGGAUGAAGCGCGAGUUUGAUUCUCGCCUGAGGCU
This is a non-coding RNA of Parelaphostrongylus tenuis, 72 nucleotides long. The record is from the annotation of a GenBank genome assembly. NCBI's taxonomy places the organism in Eukaryota, Metazoa, Nematoda, Chromadorea, Rhabditida, Metastrongylidae.